UUUUAUACAACAGUGAUCACAUGCCUUCGAACAGAUCAACACAAUGCAAUGGAAAGGAAUGAUCAUAUUGGUUUUGAUUAAAUGAAUAUACACCAUACAGAUCUUUUGUAUUAUUAAUGGACAAUUAUAUGUGAAAAUAUGGCAUUAGUUACAGUCUAUCCCUGCAAACCUGUUUUUAAUAUCUGUGUGCACGAUAGCAUGUUCUACUUUUCCCACUGUCAUGCCUACUGAACACGAGUGAGACAAACCCUCAUAUACAAGUUUAUAUAAGUCUUUUGCUUGUAGCAAAUUGUUAAUUCAGAAAAUAGGUUUUUGGGACCUUCGCGCAUCUAUGUCGGUCUCAAGUUUAUGUCUGUGCAGCCUGGGAAGGCAUCUUCUCUCUACUCCGCUUUGUCAAGUGCAUGUGUUCCGCCACACGUCAAGGUCACACAGCGGCAGCCCUCCUCUGGAACAAAAACAGAUCAAAGGUGUCUCCUCCCUUUCUCUCCCUCGCUCUCUCUGCCAUAGACCCACUGCUUCAUUGACUCCACCACUGAGUGGAAUCAGCACUGAUGGCACCCAGUGGAAAGCCACCAUGCAGCUGGAAGAGCAGCGAGAGAGACAGAGAAUCCAUGUGUAUAUUCAUUUGAGCUGCUCCCAAGACCUUGUCAGGUUUUAUGGAGCAGGACCCAAAUGCAGAGUCUGGAGAAAUCGAAUGCAGUGGUUUCACAAUAUGGAAGAUCUGUCUGACCGCAGCUGUCCCUACCUCAAUGCGGGUCUCCGGGGCGAGGCUGACCUCUCUCUCCUGAAGCCACUUCAAAGCGACCUGGGAUGGGCUGAAGGGGUAUGGGGUGUUGGGCCAGCCAGCACGGCUGCUGCUUCCCUGGGCUUUGGGAGCAGGGGAGCUGGGGCUGGAGUUAAGGUCCACCUGUGUCUGCACUCUUGGCCCAGCCAUGGCCCCAAACCUAUACCCUGUGCCACUGCUGCACAGCUCCACACGCCAUCUGGGUAGACAGACAGGGAGGAGGAAAGAAGAGGGAAGCGAUAACGGAAGGCAUUGUUGAUUCUGUAAAUGUACAUCAUUGUAUCACUGUCAACAUUUUUAAUGUAUAGCAUAUUAAUCAUACCGUAAAUGUGGAAAGGUGGAGCGAGAUUUACUGGUACGUUAGAAGAGGACAAUGCCCUCUUAAGUAUUAAGGCUUUUGAAUUAACAAACCUUCUCGAGGGUGCCCACCAUGUCAGCAUCAUUCUUAGCAUUGCAGCACUUUGAGAGGUCAGCUGACCCCACUGCCUGUAAACAACCAGAAAUUCAAAAAAUUCGGAGCCAUAAAUGUUGACUGAACAAUUUGGUUCACAUGUUCAGCUGUUGAGUAGAGAUUUCUGUCAUGUGCUAUGCAGAUGUCUGAUCCUUCUGGCUGUAAACAGCAUUUAAAAUACUGCAACGUAAUAAUGCAUAUUGGCAUUGCUGAUCUUUGUGACUUACUAUACUAAAUAUCACAAUGACAGUGUUUUUUAUGCAUCAUAGUGAAUUCCUGUGGCUCUGGUUUAUCAUACGCAAUGCUUAUUAAACAACUUCUUCAUGGCUUCUCAGCCAAAAACUGUAAACCUUAUUGUCAGAGUGCCACAACACAUGGAUAGAUUACUUCACUGAAUUCACUUUAAAGGUGACAUAUUAUGCUCAUAUUCAGGUUCAUUCUUUUAAUUUGGGUUACCACUUGAAAAGGUUUACAUGCUAUAAUGUACAGAAAAAGCCCCAGUGUUCUCAUACCGCCCAUUCCUGCAGCUCCUCUUUUCACCCUCUGUCUAAAACGCCUAGAUUUCUUUUAGACCCCCCUCAGCAUAACGUCAUUAUGUUUUAUCUAAAACCUUAGUCUGUAAAAUAAGUCGACCUUUCUAUGUGAAGUGCUUUGAGAUAUCCUAUGUGGAUUCAAUAUUUGAUUUGGCGCAAUACAAAUAAAAUUGAAUAAAAUAAAAUUAAAGUAACUUGUAAUUAGUAGUAGCAUGGAAAGUAAAUUAAAAUUAAAAUUUGAGCACAGGACUAAUAAGUACACCACAAAUAAAUACACUAAGUUACUUACUAUACUAUUACACUAGGUGCAAUAGAACAGAGCCAUCAUUAAAAUUAUUAAUAACACCAGUCUGGGGGAUUUUCAAUAACACUAUGAAACUAGGAUCAUCACUUCAUCAUCCCACACCUGUUAACUUUGUUCAACCUUAACUAAGAAUUUAUUUUCAGCAUUUUCCAUUGUGGAAGGCCUUUUAAUUUUACAUCAAAGAUGGAUUAUUCAACAAGCCUUAAAUCACAGAUCCAGGGGGCAUAGGUUCUUUUCCUGUUGGUGAGUCAAUCAAAUGACAACAAAGAGAUGUAAUUCCACAAAAGAGACUAAUGGUGCAUAUUUCAAUUGAAUUUCAAUUGAAUUUCAUUUGUAUAGCGCCAAAUCACAACAUACAUUGUCCCAAGGCACUCUACAUAGUAAGGUCAAUAAGACACCAAGACAUCUAAAAGGGGUUGCUAAACCUGUACAAAGAGACAAAAGACUACCACAAAGAGACACAAAACGAGUAUGAUAACAUGGUAACACAUACAAUACCCCACAAUCUUGGUCCGCUAGAGUUACUCAAAUCAUGCUAAGAUAACAUAUUCAUUUCAGUAACUUCAGUUUUUACAAGAUUAUGGUGUUAUGCUCUGUCUAAUAGGAGACAUCUUAGAAACACAUAUUAUUGUUUGUACUGUACCGUUUUGUUGUCUUUCAUGUUGUGCACAGUCAAGUUCCCCACAUGGGACACCCAAUGACUGAACUGCACUGCACUACAGAAAACAUGCAAAAGGAAAAGAACGAAACAAAAACGACAUUACUACAGAGAUUCAGAGUACAUAAGAAUGACAAAAGGACCACAAAAGGAACACGGCAACAAAAGAAAAAGGAUGCAUGAGUACAUGGAGACAAAGCAACAUGUGCAAAGACACACAAGACUUUCACAAAGAGAUUAUAAACUAACUAACUAACUAACUAACUAACUAACUAAGUAACUGACUAACUAACUAACUAAGUAACUGGCUGACUAACUAACUAAGUAACUGACUGACUGACUGACUGACUAACUAACUAACUAACUAACUAACUAACUGACUCACGGGACGUGCUCUUAAGAGUGUCAUAGUCCGUCCAUUAAUACACGGGAAACCCCAGUG
RNAcentral lists this long non-coding RNA (3172 nucleotides) under Scophthalmus maximus (turbot). Its description in RNAcentral is "lncRNA (ENSSMAG00000037139.1)". The record is from RNAcentral. Lineage: Eukaryota; Metazoa; Chordata; Actinopteri; Pleuronectiformes; Scophthalmidae.